This 886-nucleotide ribosomal RNA is filed under the name gamma proteobacterium SCGC AAA288-N11. RNAcentral's name for it is "SSU rRNA". It matches the Rfam family "Bacterial small subunit ribosomal RNA", at positions 38 to 915 of the family's 1533-position model. Lineage: Bacteria; Pseudomonadati; Pseudomonadota; Gammaproteobacteria. The record is from RNAcentral.
GGCGGUAUGCUUAACACAUGCAAGUCGAACGGAAACGAAACUAGCUUGCUAGUAGGCGUCGAGUGGCGGACGGGUGAGUAACGCGUAGGAAUCUGCCUGAUAGUGGGGGAUAGCCCGAAGAAAUUCGGAUUAAUACCGCAUAAUCUAUUCGUAGUAAAGUGGGGGACUUUCGAGCCUCACGCUAUCAGAUGAGCCUGCGUAAGAUUAGCUUGUUGGUAGGGUAAAAGCCUACCAAGGCAACGAUCUUUAGCUGGUCUGAGAGGAUGAUCAGCCACAUCGGGACUGAGACACGGCCCGAACUCCUACGGGAGGCAGCAGUGGGGAAUAUUGGACAAUGGGGGCAACCCUGAUCCAGCAAUACCGCGUGUGUGAAGAAGGCCUGAGGGUUGUAAAGCACUUUCAAUUGUGAAGAAAAGUUAACGGUUAAUAACCGUUGACCUUGACGUUAACUUUAGAAGAAGCACCGGCUAACUCCGUGCCAGCAGCCGCGGUAAUACGGAGGGUGCAAGCGUUAAUCGGAAUUACUGGGCGUAAAGCGUGCGUAGGCGGUUUAUUAAGUCAGAUGUGAAAGCCCCGGGCUUAACCUGGGAACUGCAUUUGAAACUGGUCAACUAGAGUAUGGUAGAGGAAAGUGGAAUUUCUGGUGUAGCGGUGAAAUGCGUAGAUAUCAGAAGGAACAUCAAUGGCGAAGGCAGCUUUCUGGACCAAUACUGACGCUGAGGUACGAAAGCGUGGGUAGCAAACAGGAUUAGAUACCCUGGUAGUCCACGCCGUAAACGAUGAUAACUAGCCGUUGGGGGGAUUUACCCCUUAGUGGCGAAGCUAACGCGUUAAGUUAUCCGCCUGGGGAGUACGGCCGCAAGCUAAACCUCAAAAAUGAAUGACG